This 1796-nucleotide long non-coding RNA is filed under the name Mytilus galloprovincialis (Mediterranean mussel). Lineage: Eukaryota; Metazoa; Mollusca; Bivalvia; Mytilida; Mytilidae. The record is from RNAcentral.
UACAACCAAACAAUCAACAUACAGACUAGCUUGUAUUUUGAUGUAAAAUAAUAAAAUUCUAAAAAAAAUCCAAAGACUUAAACUCUAAAUAAAGAUAAAAUUAUAAUUUGUAAUGUAGUAUUAAAGUCUCCAAUAUAUUUUUUUGUAUUAUAGAUUUACAUAAGGUCAUUUUUUGUUUUUUAAUAAAUACAGGGAUCUAAACUGAAAAGGUGGUUUAGUGUCUAGAAAUUAAAAAAGAAAAUGAGAAACUUAAAACAGAAAGUUGUUUCCAGAUUUGUAAAUACAUUUACUCUAUAUUGAGUGUAAAAUUGUCUUACAUUGAUGAAAUAUUCUCAUUUAAUGUUGCUAUAAAAAGUUCAAUUUUCUCUUUAUUUUCUGAAAAUGUUUAAUAAUACUUUUCUCUUCUUGUCAUUUUAAGUUUCAAAUCUAAAUUUAGAAAAAAAUAUUUUGUAAAAGAAAGAUACAAGUCUACAAAAUUAGUUUAGAGUCCUAAACCACCUUUCAUUUCUUCUGAAAAUAUAACACAGUAAUUUGAUUAGAAUAUCUCCUUAGUGCAAAAUUCUAUGCAUGUUUUUGUUUCUUGAAUCCACAAGAAAAGAAAAUGUCCCCCUCCCCUCCCUGUAUGAAAACAAAUCAAAGUCCUUGACCUUUAGUUGAAAUAUGAGAUUCAUACAAAUGUGGCAGCACUAAGUAUUGCACCUCAAAUCAAAUAUCCUUAAUCCUGAAAAAUGAGAAAAAUAAAUACAUCAUAAAAAUCUUGUUUAAUCCUAUUACAAAUGAAAAAUAAAACUAUUUAUGAUGAUGAAAAAUCUACAAAAGUGUAUGCACAAAAACUUUGAACGUAUCAACUUACCAAAUGGAAUUGAAAAUGAGAAAUAAAAUUUGUCAUUAGAACAGAAAUAUCUCUAAAGGCUUAACCAAACCAACAAUAAUACAUCUAACAGAAUACCAUCCUAUGGUACAAUAUUUAAAGUCAGAUAACUCUUAAUACAUUAAUAAUGUUAGCCAAACAAGGAUUUAUCUCUAAGUCGAGAUAUCAAUUGGGAAGAAGUCAAAAUGUUUCUUUUCAUCAUUAACUUCUUUAAAAUAUAGAAAUAAGGGAUUAAGAUCAAUUCUAUGAAAAUUACAACAUUAUAAAUCCAACUUAAUGCCUUGAUUGCAUUUAAAAUUGCACUCAAUUCUGUUUAUAACUUCAAAGGCUAAAAAUCCUAGAUUUCAGAACAAAGAGAGUUUCUUAUUGUAAGAAAUAUAAAAUACAUAUCAUACUAAGCUACCAUUUUUUUUCUUCUAAAAUUUAAAGCAAUGGAUGAUCAAAAUUAAAGUGUUGUCCAUCCACUACACAGACCUUUCUACGUCUUUAAAAUAACAAAAUAAAAAUGGUAUUCAGUGUUAAGGAAAAAAAUUCCAAUUUUAAAAAUAAAAAUUCAGGUAUACAAUAUGAACACAAAAUUACAAACUAUAAAUGGAAUGUUAACAUUUUUUUCACAAAUUCUAGGGAUGAACUAUUGGAUUGGCUCCAAAGAUAAAUCCUUAGAAUUCAUUCAAGUCCAUAGGUCCAUCCUAAGUUUUUCAGCCUGUCAUAUCUUUUUUUUUUAUAUUUCAAUAUUUAUAAGUAUGGAUAUUUCAUUAUAAAUAAAGUAAUAAUAUAAUAUAUACAAAAUUAGCACUAAACUCUUGGAAAGUAAACAAAGUUUGUUUUGGAUUUCACUUUAAAGUAAAUUUAAUAUAUCUUAUUUUAAAUAUAAAUAUAUAAUGAUAUGCACAGUGACUAAGAAAAUAAUUAAAAAAAAAUCAGA